GACGAACGCUGGCGGCGUGCUUAACACAUGCAAGUCGAACGGAAAGGCCCUGCUUUUGUGGGGUGCUCGAGUGGCGAACGGGUGAGUAACACGUGAGUAACCUGCCCUUGACUUUGGGAUAACUUCAGGAAACUGGGGCUAAUACCGGAUAGGAGCUCCUGCUGCAUGGUGGGGGUUGGAAAGUUUCGGCGGUUGGGGAUGGACUCGCGGCUUAUCAGCUUGUCGGUGGGGUAGUGGCUUACCAAGGCUUUGACGGGUAGCCGGCCUGAGGGGGUGACCGGCCACAUUGGGACUGAGAUACGGCCCAGACUCCUACGGGAGGCAGCAGUGGGGAAUAUUGCACAAUGGGCGGAAGCCUGAUGCAGCAACGCCGCGUGCGGGAUGACGGCCUUCGGGUUGUAAACCGCUUUCGCCUGUGACGAAGCGUGAGUGACGGUAAUGGGUAAAGAAGCACCGGCUAACUACGUG
Molecule: ribosomal RNA, 468 nt
Filed under: uncultured bacterium
Lineage: Bacteria
Description: partial 16S ribosomal RNA
Rfam family: Bacterial small subunit ribosomal RNA
Source: RNAcentral